AUUGAACGCUGGCGGCAGGCUUAACACAUGCAAGUCGAGCGAGCGGCGGACGGGUGAGUAAUGUCUGGGAACCUGCCUGAUGGAGGGGGAUAACUACUGGAAACGGUAGCUAAUACCGCAUACUAUCAGAUGUGCCCAGAUGGGAUUAGCUAGUAGGUGGGGUAAUGGCUCACCUAGGCGACGAUCCCUAGCUGGUCUGAGAGGAUGACCAGCCACACUGGGACUGAGACACGGGCCAGACUCCUACGGGAGGCAGCAGUGGGGAAGUUUGGACAAUGGGCGAAAGCCUGAUGCAGCCAUGCCGCGUGUGUGAAGAAGGCCUUCGGGUUGUAAAGCACUUUCAGCGAGGAGGCGUUACUCGCAGAAGAAGCACCGGCUAACUCCGUGCCAGCCGCCGCGGUAAUAC
Molecule: ribosomal RNA, 406 nt
Filed under: uncultured bacterium
Lineage: Bacteria
Description: partial 16S ribosomal RNA
Rfam family: Bacterial small subunit ribosomal RNA
Source: RNAcentral